This 428-nucleotide ribosomal RNA is filed under the name Chloroflexota bacterium. RNAcentral's name for it is "Chloroflexi bacterium partial 16S ribosomal RNA". It matches the Rfam family "Bacterial small subunit ribosomal RNA", at positions 355 to 775 of the family's 1533-position model. The record is from RNAcentral. Lineage: Bacteria; Bacillati; Chloroflexota. RNAcentral also lists the same sequence under 1 other name.
UGGGGAAUAUUGCACAAUGGGCGCAAGCCUGAUGCAGCCAUGCCGCGUGUAUGAAGAAGGCCUUCGGGUUGUAAAGUACUUUCAGCGGGGAGGAAGGGAGUAAAGUUAAUACCUUUACUCAUUGACGUUACCCGCAGAAGAAGCACCGGCUAACUCCGUGCCAGCAGCCGCGGUAAUACGGAGGGUGCAAGCGUUAAUCGGAAUUACUGGGCGUAAAGCGCACGCAGGCGGUUUGUUAAGUCAGAUGUGAAAUCCCCGGGCUCAACCUGGGAACUGCAUCUGAUACUGGCAAGCUUGAGUCUCGUAGAGGGGGGUAGAAUUCCAGGUGUAGCGGUGAAAUGCGUAGAGAUCUGGAGGAAUACCGGUGGCGAAGGCGGCCCCCUGGACGAAGACUGACGCUCAGGUGCGAAAGCGUGGGGAGCAAACAG